UGCGAACGCUGGCGGCAGGCCUAACACAUGCAAGUCGAACGGACCCUUCGGGGUUAGUGGCGGACGGGUGAGUAACACGUGGGAACGUGCCUUUAGGUUCGGAAUAGCUCCUGGAAACGGGUGGUAAUGCCGAAUGUGCCCUUCGGGGGAAAGAUUUAUCGCCUUUAGAGCGGCCCGCGUCUGAUUAGCUCGUUGGUGGGGUAAUGGCCCACCAAGGCUACGAUCAGUAGCUGGUCUGAGAGGAUGACCAGCCACAUUGGGACUGAGACACGGCCCAAACUCCUACGGGAGGCAGCAGUGGGGAAUCUUGCGCAAUGGGCGAAAGCCUGACGCAGCCAUGCCGCGUGUAUGAUGAAGGUCUUAGGAUUGUAAAAUACUUUCACCGGUGAAGAUAAUGACUGUAGCCGGAGAAGAAGCCCCGGCUAACUUCGUGCCAGCAGCCGCGGUAAUACGAAGGGGGCUAGCGUUGCUCGGAAUUACUGGGCGUAAAGGGAGCGUAGGCGGACAUUUAAGUCGA
RNAcentral lists this ribosomal RNA (517 nucleotides) under uncultured bacterium. RNAcentral's name for it is "bacterial SSU rRNA". It matches the Rfam family "Bacterial small subunit ribosomal RNA", at positions 28 to 591 of the family's 1533-position model. The record is from RNAcentral.